UCCCUGGUGGCUCAGAUGGUAAAGCGUCUGCCUGUAAUGCAGGAGACCCGGGCUUGAUCCCUGGCUUGUGAA
This is a non-coding RNA of Bos taurus (domestic cattle), 72 nucleotides long. Lineage: Eukaryota; Metazoa; Chordata; Mammalia; Artiodactyla; Bovidae. The record is from Rfam.